UCAGCUAUGAAUUAAAAAUGA
This 21-nucleotide non-coding RNA is filed under the name Caenorhabditis elegans. Lineage: Eukaryota; Metazoa; Nematoda; Chromadorea; Rhabditida; Rhabditidae. The record is from RNAcentral.